ACCUAGUUUGUGUUCUGUUGGUUCAUUGGCCCCUUUUUCCCAUGUUUUUGUAUUUAUAUCCUGGUUUUUGGUUUAGUCCUUGUCUGUCGCUGAAUGCUGUUGUACGUAGUUUGUGCUCGCUCCUAUGCCUGUGUUUUCGUGUUUUGUUUUCAUUUGCCCAUCGUGGUAGUUUUGUUUAUUCAUGCCUGUUUGUUUCCUUUAAUCAAUAAACCCGCAUUUGGAUCCUCAUCCCUUGUCUGACUCCGACCUCAUUCGUUACACUCCUAAACCUUUGGAAUCAAAUGAAGAUUUCCUUGAUCAUAACAGCAAGAUAUUUUCUGAUGGAGAUAUGGUGCCAAAGGCUCCAUCCAAGCCUGCUCUACGCAGCUGCUUGUUGCCGAAGGUUCGCACACAAAUGAUGUCAUCGCAGCGUUGCUGGGAGGAAUGAGUAAAACUGACUGUGGUGCAGAGAGAAGGAAUGCCCUUGACAAGGACACCAUGGCAGCAAUAUAUGGUCACCAGAACCGUGUGGAUCCAGCUCCAUUCCUGCUUCGUGUUGGAC
Long non-coding RNA from Xyrauchen texanus (razorback sucker), 541 nucleotides. RefSeq lists it as uncharacterized. Lineage: Eukaryota; Metazoa; Chordata; Actinopteri; Cypriniformes; Catostomidae. The transcript has 6 exons. The record is from RefSeq and is a predicted model, not a curated record.